RNA transcript from Gossypium arboreum, 1922 nucleotides. It is a transcript of the gene named PAP-specific phosphatase HAL2-like, with no coding region annotated. The record is from RefSeq and is a predicted model, not a curated record. Lineage: Eukaryota; Viridiplantae; Streptophyta; Magnoliopsida; Malvales; Malvaceae. The transcript has 4 exons.
AGCCCACAUUAAGAAAAAAAAAUGGUUUAAACUUUAAAAAGCCAAAUCUACCGAAGCCGAGGAAGCCAUUGAUGCCUUUGCUUUGAAACACGGGUCAAAAAAAAAAAAAAAAAGAUACAUACCUGAGUCUCUCUGCAGAAAUCCCGAGGUUUUGGAACUUUCUUUUUCUUUUUGUUUUGGCUGUUGAGAAAGCUUGUCUCCAACAUGGCGGAGAAGAAUGACAAGUACGGUAAAGAGUUGGAUUUGGCUGUUAGAAUUGUGCAUAUGGCUUGUUCUUUAUGUCAAAAAGUGCAACAAAGCUUGGUUUCUGCUGCUUCUGGACAUGUUUUGGCCAAGGAUGAUGAUUCUCCUGUUACUAUUGCAGACUGGAGCGUCCAAGCAACUGUUAGUUGGCUGCUUUCCGAAUUCUUGGAGGGUUGGAGUGUGUCCAUUGUUGCUGAAGAAGAUGUCCAAACACUCUCCAAGCCUGAAGCGGCUAGUUUACUUUCAGCUGUUGUCAAUACUGUGAAUGAAUGCUUAGCUGAAGCACCAAAGUAUGGUCUUCAGUGUCCAAAGAAAGUUCUCGGGACUUCACAAAUCCUUGAGGCUAUCAGUCGGUGUAACUCAACUGGGGGCCCAACUGGAAGACAUUGGGUGCUUGACCCUGUUGAUGGGACAUUGGGAUUUUUACGUGGUGACCAGUAUGCUGUAGCACUAGGCUUUCUUGAGGAUGGGAAGCUAGUUCUUGGAGUUCUUGGGUGUCCUAAUUACCCUAUGAGAAAGGAAUUGUUGAAUUAUAAUCAUCAAUGCAACCAAAUUAAGCCGACGAGUCCACCAUCUUCGGAUAUUUGGCAAAAAGGAUGUGUGAUGUAUGCAAGGAGAGGAACUGGUCAGGCAUGGAUGCAACCUUUGAUCCAUGGGGAUACAAAAUUUGAAUGGCCAAAUUCUGCUACAUUGCUACAGGCUUCUCCUGUUGAUGAUCCAUCGCUGGCAACUUUUUGUGAACCUGUGGAAAAGGCAAAUUCAAACCACUUGUUUACCGAGGGGCUUGUUAACAGCAUAGGUCUCAAAAACCGACCUAUGCGAGUCCAUAGCAUGGUAAAAUAUGCAGCAAUAGCUCGGGGUGAUGCUGAAGUUUAUAUUAAGUUUGCAAGAUCUGGGUACAAAGAGAAGAUAUGGGAUCACGCUGCUGGUGUUGUCAUUGUAGAAGAGGCUGGUGGGGUUGUAACGGAUGCAGGGGGUCGCCCCUUGGACUUCAGUAGGGGACUGUACUUAGAAGGUCUUGACCGGGGGAUUGUUGCUUGCUCUGGCCCCAUACUGCAUGAUAAAAUCAUUGGGGCUGUAUAUGCAAGCUGGGAUUCUUCUAAUCUAUGAGACUUUCUACAUCUUUUCAAUGCAAUAAUAGUGGAGUAUUAUAUGGUAAUUUUAUGGCGGGCAAGCAAAUUUGUGAAGGACACUGCCACAAACUAAUGACUCGAGAAGCGUCUGCUGAAAUAUAUUCUCCGUUUUUAAGGUCUGAUCAUUGAUUUCACCUCCAGUCCCCAUCUUACUGUCGUAGUAUUGCUCCAUUUUUAUUAGCAAUAGGCCCUUACGAUAGUUCUCAAAUGGAAGUUUUGAUUCCAUUAAUACAAAAUCAUCACUGUGGGGAUUCUUUAAUACGACAAAAGCUUAAGCUAAUGCUACUACCCUCUGCUUGCUUAGGGAACUGAACUGAUGCAUAAAUUUUGGUCACAAGUAAUUGGAUAUAUGUACACUUGCUCAUAGUUCAGGCCACCGAUCUUGAAGGUUUGUCCGAAAAACGAGGGGUUUUGGAUAAAAAUAUGAUACCCUAAUAAUGGGUUUGGGUAAAAUUUAAGGCCUAUUUUCUAUAUGGGUUGGGUCUUGGGCAACAUGUUUUGGCUCGAGCUCGGUCCAGAUUGAAUAUAUUAUGUUAUGAAAAAUAA